CUGUUUUUGACACACACCUUUUUCUUAGUCAGCUGCUGCAAAUCAGUCAUCAUGAAAUCGGAAAUUCAUUGCAGAACAAGAUUCAGGAAUGAACACUGUAUUUGAGUGCAUAUCUCCUAUGCGUACGGCUUGAAAUUGUACAGACGCAACAGCUUGUCUGCAGAGAUCGAAACCAAAGGGGAAAGCACUGAAGCCCCAGUCUGCCAUGGAAAAUGCAGCAUUCAGACAUCUGUGACCAGUAUGUGUAGAGAAGAGAAGAUAAGGUGCAUAUCAAGUUUACAUCUGUGACAGGGGUCUUGGAGUUUCUAGUGACAGAUGAAUGAAUGCAUAUGAAGACUGACUGAGAAUUUUUUAAUUAAACCUUUGAUUUCCCCAGCAGUAUUUGCUCUCUACAGAACAUUUUCUGUUUCGAAGAAAAAGCUUACCGAAUUAUCCCCAAUACCCAAUGUCUAUUCCCAGUACCCUCCAUCCCCCCACCUCCCUUUUAAGAAAUGAGUAGCCUAUUCUUGACCAAAGACACUGUGUACACAUUAAAGACUCUCUGGAGAAAGCUCAGCCUGUUGGCCCACCAUGGAAGGUAAGAGGAGAACAGCAGUACCAGCCAGUAGCCCAGUAGGUGAGAUGAAUAAGGUAGAGUUUCAGCUUCAAAGUCCCAAGCAAGGCUCUUGAGUUUUACAGCUAGAAGUACAACCAGCUUUGUAUGGUCAGCAAUUCAUUUUAUCACUUUAGAAACUUUAGAAUAAAAAAUGCAAAUGCACCUUUGAUGUGCUGAUUACUUAGGGAUGUACAAAACCAUGAACAGUGGCGGUAAUGAAAUGUCUCCUGGGUGCCUUGGAACAUCACAGGAGGACCCAGGCGAGGUUCCCUAGGAAACCAGAGAUGCGCUCCAAAGCAUGUGCAAGCUUGGCCUGCUGACAGCCACUCAGUUGUGCUCCGAACAUCGCUGCUAGAAGAUCUGUAAUUCAAUUCCAGAGUGUAGUUGGUUGGACUAAUUGUGGAAAGCCUAAAGGAGGUUGGGAUAGAUUUUUUUCCUUGUUGCAUAAAUGUUCAGACCUCUAAAAGAAAGAAAAGACUGAUUGCUAGUUAUCCAAAACAAGGGGGAGAAAGAGAUGAAUAGUAUUUUCAAUUAAUCUAAGUAUUGAUCUUAGUCCCAGAUUCUCCUGGCCUAAAUUCCACAUAAAUCCCUGUGUCUACUGUUUUCCAUUGGCUGGCAACCCAAAGGCUUCUAAGUAAUUAUUCCAGAGAUGUGAGUGAGGCUCUCGGCACAGAGCCACUUGUGUACAACAGUGGUCAACACUAAGCAGUCAGAUUUACGUGGAAUUGAGUCCUGACAAAACUGGGCCUUAGGACUAGACUGUAAUCCAAGGGGCUUACAAAGGAAGAUGCCCACAAAUCUAUUGCUUGUCCUUCCCUCCUGACUUUUAGGCAAGGGAACCAAGUUAGCAUUUCCUGGAAAAUACAAUUUACCACCUUUCCUGAAACUUGCUCUUCUUCUGUAUCUCAGCACCUCCAACCCCACCCUCAUUGCAUUUGCUCAGCAGAGAGCUAAGACAUUAUGUGUGACCCAUGAGGGCAGUGUGAAGAGAUUAAUACAAUUAUAAUACUUUUGCAGCAUGAUUCCGAAUUAUUUUCAAAUACUUCAUCUGUUACCACAAGAACUGAAGACCCUUUCAAUAAGGGCAGAACAGUGGAAAUUCCCACACAGCUAUGAGAGACACAACACGUUUGAACUUCUUUCCAGUUGCACUUCUCUGACUUCUUUAGCACAAGACACUGGGGUCCCCCAAAGACUCAAAAGCAGUCAUAGCGAUUUCGAAAUGCUGUCUGUGACUCAGCAGUGAGUCCUUACCAAUGAUCUGUGGGUUAAAUGUUCUAAAGAUCAAGUAUUUGCAGAUGGGGAUGUCUGGAGUGGAAAAGGUCUGCCACGUAUGAACUUUCUUACAGAGUUUUCCAUGGACUGAAGAAGCAUUGCUCCUGAACUCCCAUGCCUUGGUAUGAGAUAGGGCAGACAGGUGUGGCUGUAACUCCAGCACAAGUAAUAAAUAUAUUUAGCAGCUAGAUUAGCAUAAUUGCUUGCCUAGUCAGCUCGCAUGCAAAGCACACAAACAAGUAUCAUAACAGUUUUAUUACAUGUACAUGCUUGUGUUUCCUUGACAUGUGAUAAAAACAAACAGAUCGGCAAUUUAAAAACAAGCAGUAAAAAAAAACCCUAAAAAAUGCAAUGAGUAAUUUAAAACAAAUGUUAAGAAAUUGUGUCUUUAAGAAAUCUUCUCCAAGCUGCACUCCAAUUAUAUUUAUGGACGUGAACAAAAAGAUAUUAUGACCACAUGUAUUACCAGUCACAAAAGCUUACAUAUAGGUAGCUUUUGUUUUGCUCCAUUAUGAAAUAUACUUCACUGCAGGAAUUUAUACUCUUCUGUGCAAAACCAUCAGGAAACAUUUUAAAUGUGUGACUGGUUGAGAAAUGUCCCCACCCAUUCUUUGUUCAUACAACAGAUAAAGAAUGUGCCUCUUAUUUCUCAAGUAGAGUAUUUAGUUCUUGCUAAUAAGAUUGUGCAGUGCCUUUUGAAGAUCUUGAGUAUUAGUGAAUUAUAACUGUUGUAAAUACAUUUUUAACAAUCUGCUAUAAUGUCACAAAUAUUACAUAAGCUACCUAGCAAGUUUGUUAGUCAAAGCAAAAUAGGUAAGACAACUUUGAUGUUACACCGAGACACACUCAGCUGUUCAGAGAAGAAAAAUCAUCUGUUGGAGUUUGUUCUUGUUACAAAUGGCACAUUGUGUAUGUUACAGUGAACAGUGGGAGCAGUGAGCAAGAUGUGACUGAAGCAGUCUGUCAAAUCCUCGGUUUGAUUCAUAAUAAUGGGGUUGCAUUGACAUGAGACUAAAAUACAGCAAAGCAUAUGUUCACUGUGAGUAACAUAGACUCAUUUACACAUUAUAGUAGUAUUAAAUAAACAGUCGCGAUUGUUUUCUAAAAUAGUUCUACAAUGAAUGUGGUUGUAGUACCACGGGCCAAAUACUGCUUUGCAGGCAGUGAUCAAAGAGAGAGAAAAAAAGCCUCAACCCUUCUUUUUCUUUUUUCCCCUUGGAUUUCCAGUCCUCAGACUGGUGGAGUGAAGGGAGUUGAAGCAGCAUACAUCUUCCUGCUGUGGGUCUGAAGAAAGACUAACCCUGGUCUUUCUCUGGAACAGAGAACAAGCACAACAGUGGCUUCAUGACAUAACUUUCUCAGUUUCAGCCCUCAAAGAAUCUGGUCCCUUUGAUUCUCAGAUUGUUUGCAGGAACAGGCUUGGUAGGACUUCAAGAAAACGUCGACAUAGUUACAGAAAUGGCAGCGACAAAUCCGUCUCAGCUAUAAAAUAGUUACUGCAGGAACACAGAGAAAUCCAUGCAUUUAUCCUGAGGACUCAUAACCCUUCCACAUUAAUGUUCUAAUUAGGAACCAGGACAUCCUAUUUCUUUUUUUUCUUUUUUAUAUUCUAGUUGUAAAUGGACAACAAAUGUUAUU
Columba livia (rock pigeon) is the source of this 3508-nucleotide long non-coding RNA. RefSeq lists it as uncharacterized. The transcript has 3 exons. NCBI's taxonomy places the organism in Eukaryota, Metazoa, Chordata, Aves, Columbiformes, Columbidae. The record is from RefSeq and is a predicted model, not a curated record.